RNAcentral lists this ribosomal RNA (681 nucleotides) under uncultured Paracoccaceae bacterium. RNAcentral describes it as "bacterial SSU rRNA". It matches the Rfam family "Bacterial small subunit ribosomal RNA", at positions 8 to 750 of the family's 1533-position model. Lineage: Bacteria; Pseudomonadati; Pseudomonadota; Alphaproteobacteria; Rhodobacterales; Paracoccaceae. The record is from RNAcentral.
AGAGUUUGAUCAUGGCUCAGAACGAACGCUGGCGGCAGCCUAACACAUGCAAGUCGAGCGAGGACUUCGGUCCUAGCGCGGACGGGUGAGUAACGCGUGGGAACGUGCCCUUUGCUACGGAAUAGCCCUGGGAAACUGGGAGUAAUACCGUAUGUGCCCUUAGGGGAAAGAUUUAUCGGCAAAGGAUCGGCCCGCGUUGGAUUAGGUAGUUGGUGGGGUAACGGCCUACCAAGCCGACGAUCCAUAGCUGGUUUGAGAGGAUGAUCAGCCACACUGGGACUGAGACACGGCCCAGACUCCUACGGGAGGCAGCAGUGGGGAAUCUUAGACAAUGGGCGCCAAUGAUCUAGCCAUGCCGCGUGCAGUGAAGGCCUUAGGGUUGUAAAGCUCUUUCAGCGAGGAAGAUAAUGACUGUACUCGCAGAAGAAGCCCCGCUAACUCUGUGCCAGCAGCCGCGUAAUACGGAGGGGGCUAGCGUUGUUCGGAAUUACUGGGCGUAAAGCGCACGUAGGCGACUGGAAAGUCAGGGGUGAAAUCCCGGGGCUCAACCCCGAAACUGCCUUUGAAACUCCCAGUCUUGAGUUCGAGAGAGGUGAGUGGAAUUCCGAGUGUAGAGGUGAAAUUCGUAGAUAUUCGGAGGAACCCAGUGCGAGGGGCUCACUGCUCGAUACUGACGCUGAG